GUUGUCCGGAAUUACUGGGCGUAAAGAGCUCGUAGGUGGUUUGUCGCGUUGUUCGUGAAAUCUCACGGCUUAACUGUGAGCGUGCGGGCGAUACGGGCAGACUUGAGUACUGCAGGGGAGACUGGAAUUCCUGGUGUAGCGGUGGAAUGCGCAGAUAUCAGGAGGAACACCGGUGGCGAAGGCGGGUCUCUGGGCAGUAACUGACGCUGAGGAGCGAAAGCGUGGGGAGCGAACAGGAUUAGAUACCCUGGUAGUCCACGCCGUAAACGGUGGGUACUAGGUGUGGGUUUCCUUCCUUGGGAUCCGUGCCGUAGCUAACGCAUUAAGUACCCCGCCUGGGGAGUACGGCCGCAAGGCUAAAACUCAAAGAAAUUGACGGGGGCCCGCACAAGCGGCGGAGCAUGUGGAUUAAUUCGAUGCAACGCGAAGAACCUUACCUGGGUUUGACAUGCACAGGACGCCGGCAGAGAUGUCGGUUCCCUUGUGGCCUGUGUGCAGGUGGUGCAUGGCUGUCGUCAGCUCGUGUCGUGAGAUGUUGGGUUAAGUCCCGCAACGAGCGCAACCCUUGUCUCAUGUUGCCAGCGGGUAAUGCCGGGGACUCGUGAGAGACUGCCGGGGUCAACUCGGAGGAAGGUGGGGAUGACGUCAAGUCAUCAUGCCCCUUAUGUCCAGGGCUUCACACAUGCUACAAUGGCCGGUACAAAGGGCUGCGAUGCCGCGAGGUUAAGCGAAUCCUUUUAAAGCCGGUCUCAGUUCGGAUCGGGGUCUGCAACUCGACCCCGUGAAGUCGGAGUCGCUAGU
Molecule: ribosomal RNA, 801 nt
Filed under: uncultured Mycobacterium sp.
Lineage: Bacteria; Bacillati; Actinomycetota; Actinomycetes; Mycobacteriales; Mycobacteriaceae
Description: bacterial SSU rRNA
Rfam family: Bacterial small subunit ribosomal RNA
Source: RNAcentral